This 27-nucleotide non-coding RNA is filed under the name Rattus norvegicus (Norway rat). The record is from RNAcentral. Lineage: Eukaryota; Metazoa; Chordata; Mammalia; Rodentia; Muridae.
GACCACUAUUAGCUGGGGUUUGUCUGC